AAGAGGAGAGAGCUGUGUGUGGAUGCUGGCAGUGGAGGAGAGGCAAGAUGAGAUGCAGUAAAGCGAAUAAAUACGGAUAAAACAGGAGUCUGGGAAGGAAGGAGUCUUUUGCUGCUAUCUGUGGAAAUAAUCGGGCCAUAACAAUUGGGAAUAGUGAUGGAGAGAACACCUCAUCUGAGACAUUUCAACAUCAUUCGUGCAGGGGGACUUUGACAAUGGGAGUAAAUUUCAGCCUUUCACAUUUUUUCAUCAAGAUAACAGCUUUGGCAUAGAAGCCACCUGCACAGUCUCUGUUUUUAGUCUUGCCUGGCAUUUUCAAGUAAGGUGAAUUUAACAUGUACUGGGUGGAGAAGGGAUUCCACUGAAUUCUGUCCACCUUGCUGUUGUCAUUGUUGUUUCCCAAGCAGACUGGAAAAAUAUGUAACUGAGCUAUUUUCAUGUUAAGCCUCUUUGCACCUUUUCUUCAUUUAAGCUUUUUACUAUUUUCGGCCUGAAUCGUCCUUGCUUUUGUAGGAAAGGCACCGUGACUUUGUCUUCCAUUUAGC
RNAcentral lists this long non-coding RNA (545 nucleotides) under Struthio camelus australis. RNAcentral describes it as "lncRNA (ENSSCUG00000018981.1)". The record is from RNAcentral. Lineage: Eukaryota; Metazoa; Chordata; Aves; Struthioniformes; Struthionidae.